This 374-nucleotide ribosomal RNA is filed under the name uncultured organism. RNAcentral's name for it is "bacterial SSU rRNA". It matches the Rfam family "Bacterial small subunit ribosomal RNA", at positions 526 to 897 of the family's 1533-position model. The record is from RNAcentral.
CGUAGGGUGCAAGCGUUGUCCGGAAUUAUUGGGCGUAAAGAGCUCGUAGGCGGUUUGUCGCGUCUGCUGUGAAAACUCGGGGCUUAACCCCGGGCCUGCAAUGGGUACGGGCAGACUAGAGUGCGGUAGGGGAGACUGGAAUUCCUGGUGUAGCGGUGAAAUGCGCAGAUAUCAGGAGGAACACCGGUGGCGAAGGCGGGUCUCUGGGCCGUAACUGACGCUGAGGAGCGAAAGCGUGGGGAGCGAACAGGAUUAGAUACCCUGGUAGUCCACGCCGUAAACGUUGGGCGCUAGGUGUGGGGCUCUUUCCACGAGUUCCGUGCCGCAGCAAACGCAUUAAGCGCCCCGCCUGGGGAGUACGGCCGCAAGGCUAA